RNAcentral lists this ribosomal RNA (473 nucleotides) under uncultured bacterium. RNAcentral describes it as "bacterial SSU rRNA". It matches the Rfam family "Bacterial small subunit ribosomal RNA", at positions 28 to 472 of the family's 1533-position model. The record is from RNAcentral.
GACGAACGCUGGCGGCGUGCUUAACACAUGCAAGUCGAACGGAGCGAAAGAAAGCUUGCUUUUAUAAGCUUAGUGGCAAACGGGUGAGUAACACGUAGGCAACCUGCCGACAGGAUGGGGACAACAUUCCGAAAGGAAUGCUAAUACCGAAUGAAGUGCAGGGGAGGCAUCUCCCCUGCAUGAAAGAUGGCCUCUAUAUAUAAGCUAUCACCUGUCGAUGGGCCUGCGUCUGAUUAGCUGGUAGGUGAGGUAACGGCUCACCUAGGCGACGAUCAGUAGCCGGUCUGAGAGGAUGAACGGCCACAUUGGGACUGAGACACGGCCCAGACUCCUACGGGAGGCAGCAGUGGGGAAUCUUCCGCAAUGGGCGCAAGCCUGACGGAGCAACGCCGCGUGAGUGAAGAAGGUCUUCGGAUCGUAAAGCUCUGUUGAUGGGGACGAACGUACGGAGUGCGAAUAGUGCUCNGUAANGA